UGCCAGCAGCCGCGGUAAUACAUAGGGUGCAAGCGUUGUCCGGAAUUAUUGGGCGUAAAGAGCUCGUAGGUGGUUUGUUACGUCGGUUGUGAAAUUCAGGGGCUCAACCCCUGACUUGCAGCCGAUACGGGCAAGCUAGAGUUUGGUAGGGGAGACUGGAAUUCCUGGUGUAGCGGUGGAAUGCGCAGAUAUCAGGAGGAACACCGAUGGCGAAGGCAGGUCUCUGGGCCAAUACUGACACUGAGGAGCGAAAGCGUGGGGAGCGAACAGGAUUAGAUACCCUGGUAGUCCACGCCGUAAACGGUGGGCGCUAGUUGUGCGAACCUUCCACGGUUUGUGCGACGCAGCUAACGCAUUAAGCGCCCCGCCUGGGGAGUACGAUCGCAAGAUUAAAACUCAAAGAAAUUGACGG
This 412-nucleotide ribosomal RNA is filed under the name uncultured Sporichthyaceae bacterium. RNAcentral describes it as "bacterial SSU rRNA". It matches the Rfam family "Bacterial small subunit ribosomal RNA", at positions 506 to 916 of the family's 1533-position model. Lineage: Bacteria; Bacillati; Actinomycetota; Actinomycetes; Sporichthyales; Sporichthyaceae. The record is from RNAcentral.